Molecule: ribosomal RNA, 1733 nt
Filed under: Escherichia coli
Lineage: Bacteria; Pseudomonadati; Pseudomonadota; Gammaproteobacteria; Enterobacterales; Enterobacteriaceae
Description: partial 23S ribosomal RNA
Rfam family: Bacterial large subunit ribosomal RNA
Source: RNAcentral
GGGUUGUGAGGUUAAGCGACUAAGCGUACACGGUGGAUGCCCUGGCAGUCAGAGGCGAUGAAGGACGUGCUAAUCUGCGAUAAGCGUCGGUAAGGUGAUAUGAACCGUUAUAACCGGCGAUUUCCGAAUGGGGAAACCCAGUGUGAUUCGUCACACUAUCAUUAACUGAAUCCAUAGGUUAAUGAGGCGAACCGGGGGAACUGAAACAUCUAAGUACCCCGAGGAAAAGAAAUCAACCGAGAUUCCCCCAGUAGCGGCGAGCGAACGGGGAGCAGCCCAGAGCCUGAAUCAGUGUGUGUGUUAGUGGAAGCGUCUGGAAAGGCGCGCGAUACAGGGUGACAGCCCCGUACACAAAAAUGCACAUGCUGUGAGCUCGAUGAGUAGGGCGGGACACGUGGUAUCCUGUCUGAAUAUGGGGGGACCAUCCUCCAAGGCUAAAUACUCCUGACUGACCGAUAGUGAACCAGUACCGUGAGGGAAAGGCGAAAAGAACCCCGGCGAGGGGAGUGAAAAAGAACCUGAAACCGUGUACGUACAAGCAGUGGGAGCACGCUUAGGCGUGUGACUGCGUACCUUUUGUAUAAUGGGUCAGCGACUUAUAUUCUGUAGCAAGGUUAACCGAAUAGGGGAGCCGAAGGGAAACCGAGUCUUAACUGGGCGUUAAGUUGCAGGGUAUAGACCCGAAACCCGGUGAUCUAGCCAUGGGCAGGUUGAAGGUUGGGUAACACUAACUGGAGGACCGAACCGACUAAUGUUGAAAAAUUAGCGGAUGACUUGUGGCUGGGGGUGAAAGGCCAAUCAAACCGGGAGAUAGCUGGUUCUCCCCGAAAGCUAUUUAGGUAGCGCCUCGUGAAUUCAUCUCCGGGGGUAGAGCACUGUUUCGGCAAGGGGGUCAUCCCGACUUACCAACCCGAUGCAAACUGCGAAUACCGGAGAAUGUUAUCACGGGAGACACACGGCGGGUGCUAACGUCCGUCGUGAAGAGGGAAACAACCCAGACCGCCAGCUAAGGUCCCAAAGUCAUGGUUAAGUGGGAAACGAUGUGGGAAGGCCCAGACAGCCAGGAUGUUGGCUUAGAAGCAGCCAUCAUUUAAAGAAAGCGUAAUAGCUCACUGGUCGAGUCGGCCUGCGCGGAAGAUGUAACGGGGCUAAACCAUGCACCGAAGCUGCGGCAGCGACGCUGAUGCGUUGUUGGGUAGGGGAGCGUUCUGUAAGCCUGUGAAGGUGUGCUGUGAGGCAUGCUGGAGGUAUCAGAAGUGCGAAUGCUGACAUAAGUAACGAUAAAGCGGGUGAAAAGCCCGCUCGCCGGAAGACCAAGGGUUCCUGUCCAACGUUAAUCGGGGCAGGGUGAGUCGACCCCUAAGGCGAGGCCGAAAGGCGUAGUCGAUGGGAAACAGGUUAAUAUUCCUGUACUUGGUGUUACUGCGAAGGGGGGACGGAGAAGGCUAUGUUGGCCGGGCGACGGUUGUCCCGGUUUAAGCGUGUAGGCUGGUUUUCCAGGCAAAUCCGGAAAAUCAAGGCUGAGGCGUGAUGACGAGGCACUACGGUGCUGAAGCAACAAAUGCCCUGCUUCCAGGAAAAGCCUCUAAGCAUCAGGUAACAUCAAAUCGUACCCCAAACCGACACAGGUGGUCAGGUAGAGAAUACCAAGGCGCUUGAGAGAACUCGGGUGAAGGAACUAGGCAAAAUGGUGCCGUAACUUCGGGAGAAGGCACGCUGAUAUGUAGGUGAAG